AACAUCAAACAUGGCCAGAGGAGAAGCAGCUAUGGGCAUAAUUGAUGAAGCAGGGCCAAGGUGCUGCACGGUAGAAGGCAUAUUCGAUAAAUUUCGCUGAGAACCAGCAAUAUUUACGUUAUUCAUAUCCGCCUCGUUGAUACCCAUUACGGAGGAUGAGGGUGUGUGCUUCCAAUCAGGCUGCUUUCCAGAAGGUAAAUAAGUGGUACCCAUAAAGCUUAAUCCAACCUGGCCAUACUGUCCAACUGGAGCAAAAUGAUUAUAGACCACCAUGUGCGGAGGACCUUGAACUCCCGGGAUACCUCCAGGUGGGCUUAUGAAAGGGCCAGUGAAACCUGCUGGAUGACCGUAGAAUGAGUCUAACGUAGAAUGGCAUUGUUGCCAUGCACCAAGUGGACCUGAGCUAGACACAGUAGCUUUCUGCGACUGUGAUUGGGAGCCACCCGAUUCCUUAUGUGGACCGAAGGCAAAAAUAGGACCACCCAACACGGGAUUCAUCUCAUAGAAAGGAAAAUGAGAUGGCGGGCCACCAGGAAAAUGAGAUAGGAUUUGGCUAGAAGAAUUCUGGGGACUUGGUAGGGACUGCCACAAUGAUAUCGGAGGAGUUUCAACAUUGAGAUCAGCAGGAAGAGAUACACUAAGAGACUCUUCUGCCCUUGAUUGGCUGCUCAAUUGCUGAUCACCUUCAAAAUUUUUAGCUUCUGAAAUAGCAGAGCCAAGUCCAUUCCCAACAAUUUCAUCAUUGCUGAUAGCUGCUACAGCGACAGCAGAAGCAGCUGCUUCUGCUUCAGCCUCAGAAUCUUGUACAUUUAGACAUGGAUCAUUGGCA
This 829-nucleotide unclassified non-coding RNA is filed under the name Hevea brasiliensis (rubber tree). The record is from RNAcentral. Lineage: Eukaryota; Viridiplantae; Streptophyta; Magnoliopsida; Malpighiales; Euphorbiaceae.